AAAUUUUAAAAUAGUUUUGAGAUUUGAUUUCAGCAGAGGUACACAAACACUAAAACUAAGUUAUCAUCUAAUAUUUUGUAUUUUUCUAACUUGAAAAAUAGGUCACGAUCUAGAUCACAUUCCCGAUCCAGGGGAAGGCGAUACUCUCGCUCACGUAGUAGGAGCCGCGGUAGGAGGUCAAGAUCAGCAUCUCCUCGACGAUCAAGGUCCGUGUCUCUUCGUAGAUCAAGAUCAGCUUCACUCAGAAGAUCUAGGUCUGGUUCUAUAAUAGGAUCGAGGUAUUUCCAGUAUGUAGCACAUUUUUCCUGCUUACUAGUAGAUGGAUUGUCGUGUCUUUAGUA
Molecule: long non-coding RNA, 341 nt
Filed under: Rattus norvegicus (Norway rat)
Lineage: Eukaryota; Metazoa; Chordata; Mammalia; Rodentia; Muridae
Description: long non-coding RNA NONRATT024766
Source: RNAcentral